UAGGGAAUCUUCCACAAUGGACGAAAGUCUGAUGGAGCAACGCCGCGUGAGUGAAGAAGGGUUUCGGCUCGUAAAACACUGUUGUAAGAGAAGAAUGACAUUGAGAGUAACUGUUCAAUGUGUGACGGUAUCUUACCAGAAAGGAACGGCUAAAUACGUGCUAG
Molecule: ribosomal RNA, 164 nt
Filed under: uncultured bacterium
Lineage: Bacteria
Description: partial 16S ribosomal RNA
Rfam family: Bacterial small subunit ribosomal RNA
Source: RNAcentral